RNAcentral lists this transfer RNA (74 nucleotides) under Microthrixaceae bacterium. Its description in RNAcentral is "tRNA-Ala". It matches the Rfam family "tRNA". From Rfam's summary of the family: Transfer RNA (tRNA) molecules are approximately 80 nucleotides in length. Their secondary structure includes four short double-helical elements and three loops (D, anti-codon, and T loops). The record is from RNAcentral. Lineage: Bacteria; Bacillati; Actinomycetota; Acidimicrobiia; Acidimicrobiales; Microthrixaceae.
GGGGGUGUAGCUCAGUUGGCUAGAGCACCUGCUUUGCAAGCAGGGGGCCGUGGGUUCGAGUCCCAUCACCUCCA